Cinclus cinclus is the source of this 4045-nucleotide long non-coding RNA. RefSeq lists it as uncharacterized. NCBI's taxonomy places the organism in Eukaryota, Metazoa, Chordata, Aves, Passeriformes, Cinclidae. The record is from RefSeq and is a predicted model, not a curated record. The transcript has 2 exons.
GUUCACUGUCCGUAUAAGGUUAAGAACAAUGUAAAUCAGUAACUGCAGCUAUGCUUAAAGAAAUGGUUUGCGUAAGUGAAACUAGUUAUAAAGAACAAAUAGUGUUGUAAUCAAUACUUGUAAGGUUGCGUAAGAACUUUUUGCAGCCCAAGUCAAGAAGAGGAUACUGAGGAAGACUCGUGAGGGCCGUUAUCAACGACCACCAGAAGGUAGAAAAUGAACCCCUAUCAACUGCCGGAGCAUGCGCGAUAAGCACCAAGAGGAUAACUCAACAAGAAGAGCGGGUGCUUAAAAGAACUGAAAACCCCGGUCGGCACGGCAGUUGGUGGAGCGGUGACUCCCCUGUCGCCCAGCGCUGCAUUUUGCUUUUCUUUCUAAUAAAUUGCUAUUUUAAUUGGCUAAAAUGGCCCGUUGUGCUCAUUGAUAACAAUUUGGUGCCGUGACUCGGAUCGGUGAUAGGGGUGAUUUUCUACCCGUGAGGGGGGCACCCCACCAUUUUGGUGGCCCUCGGGGUUAGGAGGUCGCCCUACUCCCGACCGACGAACCUAAAAUUAAGGAAAGGAAAGCAAAGGGAAUUGAGGGCCCAGGGAACUCCUUAAAAGCUUUGUGCACAAGGUCCGGACGAAGACGCAGGACGCGUGCAGCCGGGAGAUUGGGUCCUGGUCCGGAGCUGGAAAGAGAACCCGUUAACCCCGAAGUGGGAGGGACCGUAUUUAGUACUACUCACCACUGAUACGGCAGUACGAACAGCAGAGAAAGGAUGGACUCAUGCUAGUCGAAUAAAAGGACCCAUAAAUCCAUCAGAAUUCUCCAAAAACAAGGAUCCUCAGUGGAAUAUCAAAGGAACACCUGGCGAUUUGAAGUUUACUUUAACAAGGACUUUAUCCUAAAUGGACGCUGGGGACAUUUGGGUAGGGGAUAAUUGAGUGUUGCAGAAAGAACUGAUUGGAACUUCAGAACCACCUGGAUAUUGUGAAUAUUUAGAAAAACUUACCCAACAACCCUACUAUCGAGAAAUAAGAUUAAUAAAUAAAGAUAAGUUAUAUAAUGGGGAAGAAAAUGUUGAUCACAAUAAUAUAAGAAUAGUUUGUAGUUGGUUAGAUUGUAAUUGUUAUCCAUUUAUAUGUUUUUGUUGUAAAAUCUGUAAAGAGUUGUGGUGGGUUCAUUGCCGAAGAGGGCGGGCUCCUAGAAGUGUGUGUCAACCCUGUGGGGGGGAACAGCGCGAGCUGACUGCCCUGGCCCUAAGUCAGAAAGUAGCAGCUCGAGAGCUUAAAGUGGGAUCCCCAUCCUGGUGGCAAAUAUUUUCUAAAGGUAUAAACCCCGAACUUUGUUGUUAUCACUCUAACGAGCCUGUGGGACCAUAUAACACGGAUAUUGUGAAGGCGGAGUGCCGAAAACAAGUAAAAGGAUUGAGGUGUGACACCCCAUCAGUAAAGGACAAAAAUUGGCAUACCACAAGAAGAAAGUGGAGGAGGGGAGCAAGCUCUACCCCUGAAGAACAUCCUUGCUGCCGUGAAGAUGGGUUACCCCGCAGCUAGCCGCAAUCUAGUUGGCGGGCGAGGCAGAAGGGUGAACAGUGGGGAAAAAGAGCCUCCCAAUUUAGUUACCACUAAGGUACUCACCCACGUACGAACCCCAGGCCGAAAAGGGGGUAACAAAGGAAAUAAAACAAAAAGAAUUUACAAACAACAAAUUAGUUUCGGCCAUAAGCAACCCACAACUCUAAAGGUAUGUGUAAUGAAAAUAUUUUUAGGAUUUAUUAUAAAACCAAUAGCAGCUGACCAUGAACCUUUUAAGUGAACCUUAAAGUAGAUGGGAAAGUCAUGAUACAAAGCAUGAGCUCCAGUCUGUCAUCUCCUCUGAAGCCCCAAGUUUUACAGCAGGAGUUUGUAAUUUAACUAAAGUACAGCAUUGUGGUCCCCUAAAUCAUACAAGCUUUUAUAUGUGCCCUGCCUCAAAUCCCGGGAGGUCCUAUUGUAAUUAUCCGGAAGAAUAUUAUUGUGGAUAUUGGGGUUGUAAGACCAUUGCAUUUGGAUAGAAACCGGGAGCUGGGCCUGACAAAUUUCUUAAAGUAAAGUUGGAGUCCUAAAGGUUGUAAAACCCCAUGGUCAUGGAAUUCUGGCUGGUGUAAUUCCCCCAGUUGUCGAGGAAAUUGUACAUUUAUAUUUUUAAAUGCUUCUCAACCAGAAGACGCAGAAUGGCUGAUAGGCCGGACGUGGGGAAUUAGGCACUGGAAAGAUGGGCAUGAUUUUGGAAAUUUGAUCCAGAUAAAAAAGGAACCUAUACCAUAUGAUUUGGAGCCGAUAGGGCCAAAUCCAGUUAUAGGGGGUGAGAGUACAGAAAAUCAGACUAAAAUCUUAGUUCCAGGGAAAAAUGAGACAGAAAAUAAGACAGAAGUUGAAAUUGAAAACUAUCAAUCUUUUAGAAGAUACAAUGCGCUGUGGAAAACAUUACAAGCUACCUUCACGGUAUUAAACCAUACGUACCCGAAUUUGACAGAGGGGUGCUGGCUAUGUUAUAUGAUGAGACCUCCCCUAUAUGAGGCCUUGGGCUCCACAGCAAAAUCUAAACGAAUCAAUGGAACAAACCCCAGGGAAUGUUUAUGGAAAAAAGGAAGAGAGGACACCCCUGGAUUAUCACUGACUCAAGUGAUAGGGAAGGGAAGGUGCAUAGGAAAUAUACCCCAAAAAAAAAAAAAAAAAAAAAAAAAAAGACCAUCUCUGUUAAGUAAGAAUGUCUAUUCAUGAUAUCCGGAAACCUGCUCAAUGGCUUAUUCCUGCAGCAAAUACUAAAUGGAUCUGCAACAAUUUAGAAAUUACUCCCUGUUUAAGCAUCCAACACUUUAAUGAAACAUCAGAAUACUGUGUUCAGGUUCUUAUUAUCCCUCGUAUAUCAUAUCACACGAGGGACUACGUACCGAAACACCAAAUUACCCCUGAACAUCACCUAGCAAAAAGGAAACCCUUUACAGCACUUACAGUAGCAGUAUUAUUAAGUGUUGGGGGAGUUGGGAUUGGUACUGGAGCAGCUUCAUUAAUACAACAACAGCAAAAGAUGAGAGCUUUAAGGGUAUCAGUAGAUGAAGACUUGAACAGAAUUGAAAAGGCAAUUGAUGGCUUAGUAAAAUCAUUAAGGUCUUUAUCUGAAGUAGUGCUGCAGAAUCGCAGAAAGUUAGACUUAUUAUUAUUGCAACAAGGAGGAUUAUGUGUGGCUUUAAGGGAAGAAUGUUGCACAUAUGCAGACCAUACCGGCAUAGUUAUAGACACCAUGGCUGAACUUCGAAAGCAGCUGGAACAACAGAAGAAGGAACGAGAGACUCAGCAAAGUUGGUAUGAGUCAUGGUUUAAUCAUUCUCCCUGGUUAACUACCUUGUUGUCUACCAUAGCAAGACCCUUGAUAUUGUUUAUUUUGACCCUAACGUUUAGACCAUGUAUUUUUAAUAAGCUCAUUAACAUAGUUAAGAGAAAAUUGGAAGCUGCUCAUUUAAUGCUAAUUAGAGCUAAAUAUGAACCCCUGUCUGGAAUAAAGACAGAAAAGCAUUUGGAACUUAGUAGAAGGGAAUUAGCUAGAUUUAAUGAACAAAAAGAGUAAAAAAAAAAAAAGGGGGGGAUUGUGGUAAGAAACAGAAGUCCCUUUUUGUUCACUGUCCAUAUAAGGUUAAGAACAAUGUAAAUCAGUAACUGCAGCUAUGCUUAAAGAAAUGGUUUGCGUAAGUGAAACUAGUUAUAAAGAACAAAUAGUGUUGUAAUCAAUACUUGUAAGGUUGCGUAAGAACUUUUUGCAGCCCAAGUCAAGAAGAGGAUACUGAGGAAGACUCGUGAGGGCCUUUAUCAACGACCACCAGAAGGUAGAAAACGAACCCCUAUCAACUGCCGGAGCACGCGCGAUAAGCACCAAGAGGAUGACUCAACAAGAAGAGCGGGUGCUUAAAAAGAGAACUGAAAACCCCGGUCGGCGCGGCAGUUGGUGGAGCGGUGACUCCCCUGUCGCCCAGCGCUGCAUUUUGCUUUUCUUUCUAAUAAAUUGCUAUUUUAAUUGGCUAAAA